This 816-nucleotide long non-coding RNA is filed under the name Monodelphis domestica (gray short-tailed opossum). RNAcentral's name for it is "lncRNA (ENSMODG00000041421.1)". The record is from RNAcentral. Lineage: Eukaryota; Metazoa; Chordata; Mammalia; Didelphimorphia; Didelphidae.
GUCCCAUGUGUGGAUUCUUUCUUUAACUCCUCUACCAAACAUCUGCUAGGAUCUCAGAGGUGGAUAGAAGUGAAAUGAAGUGAGAAAAUGAGAAGAAUUAUUGGAUUAUUAUUCUUAAAACUAGAAGGAAUCCCAGGAAGGAAGGAAAUUAAGUAUUUACCAAGAGCAAGGCACUGAGAAAUGCAGAGAACCGUAAUCUAACCAUCAUUAAGGAUAGCAAGCAGUAAAGGAAAUGAACAUAUACCAUGUAACUUUUAAGAGGGACACCUGACCACCUGACCAAAAAGACCAAAUUUGAGAGAAGCACCCCAAAUCUUCUGGCUCCUGAGACAAUGUACUUUCUACUCCAUCAUACUAUAAUCAUCCAACUGACUUUAUGUUACAGGAAACUAAGAAAUGACAUGGAAAAGGAAAUGGCAAACAGCUCCAGUACCUUUGCCAAGAAAACCCUAAAUGGGGUCACAAAGAGUUGGACACAACUGAAAAGUGACUCAAGAACAGUAUAAAUUGCUCCAAGUAGAUGAAUCUCAGUUCUCCUUGUCUUAUCUUCAGAUGCCCAUUCUCCUGUUGUUUUUGCUUUUCUUUUCCUUAUGUGGAAUAUUUGAUUUCUUCUCCUCUGGCUUGAUGUAUUGCAAAGAGUUCUGGUUUAGGGGUUAGAGGAUCUUAGUUAGAACACUGACUUUACAUUUGCUGUGUAUGGGGUGAGAAGGGAGGACUGGCAGCUCUGGUGUGAGGGUCUGCCAACCCUUUUCAGGGCUGCUCAUUCACCUUUGGUAUCUACCUGUCAUCCAGAUCUCACGUUAUUUUAAAAAGCUG